Molecule: ribosomal RNA, 473 nt
Filed under: uncultured bacterium
Lineage: Bacteria
Description: partial 16S ribosomal RNA
Rfam family: Bacterial small subunit ribosomal RNA
Source: RNAcentral
GAUAAACGCUGGCGGCGCACAUAAGACAUGCAAGUUGAACGGACUUAAUCGAAAUAUUUAUAUUUUGAAGCGGUUAGUGGCGGACUGGUGAGUAACGCGUAAGGAACCUGCCUAUUAGAGGGGAAUAACAGUGAGAAAUCAUUGCUAAUACCGCAUAUGCCAUAGAUAUCACAUGAUAACAGUGGGAAAGGAGCAAUCCGCUAAUAGAUGGCCUUGCGUCUGAUUAGAUAGUUGGUGGGGUAACGGCCUACCAAGUCGACGAUCAGUAGCCGGACUGGGAGGUUGACCGGCCACAUUGGGACUGAGAUACGGCCCAGACUCCGACGGGAGGCAGCAGUCGGGAAUAUUGCGCAAUGGAGGAAACUCUGACGCAGUGACGCCGCGUAUAGGAAGAAGGUUUUCGGAUUGUAAACUAUUGUCGUUAGGGAAGAGAAAGGACAGUACCUAAGGAGGAAGCUCCGGCUAACUACGUG